RNAcentral lists this ribosomal RNA (1345 nucleotides) under Levilactobacillus brevis. Its description in RNAcentral is "bacterial SSU rRNA". It matches the Rfam family "Bacterial small subunit ribosomal RNA", at positions 34 to 1335 of the family's 1533-position model. The record is from RNAcentral. Lineage: Bacteria; Bacillati; Bacillota; Bacilli; Lactobacillales; Lactobacillaceae.
UGCUUCGGGCGGCAUGCCUAUACAUGCAAGUCGAACGAGCUUCCGUUGAAUGACGUGCUUGCACUGAUUUCAACAAUGAAGCGAGUGGCGAACUGGUGAGUAACACGUGGGGAAUCUGCCCAGAAGCAGGGGAUAACACUUGGAAACAGGUGCUAAUACCGUAUAACAACAAAAUCCGCAUGGAUUUUGUUUGAAAGGUGGCUUCGGCUAUCACUUCUGGAUGAUCCCGCGGCGUAUUAGUUAGUUGGUGAGGUAAAGGCCCACCAAGACGAUGAUACGUAGCCGACCUGAGAGGGUAAUCGGCCACAUUGGGACUGAGACACGGCCCAAACUCCUACGGGAGGCAGCAGUAGGGAAUCUUCCACAAUGGACGAAAGUCUGAUGGAGCAAUGCCGCGUGAGUGAAGAAGGGUUUCGGCUCGUAAAACUCUGUUGUUAAAGAAGAACACCUUUGAGAGUAACUGUUCAAGGGUUGACGGUAUUUAACCAGAAAGCCACGGCUAACUACGUGCCAGCAGCCGCGGUAAUACGUAGGUGGCAAGCGUUGUCCGGAUUUAUUGGGCGUAAAGCGAGCGCAGGCGGUUUUUUAAGUCUGAUGUGAAAGCCUUCGGCUUAACCGGAGAAGUGCAUCGGAAACUGGGAGACUUGAGUGCAGAAGAGGACAGUGGAACUCCAUGUGUAGCGGUGGAAUGCGUAGAUAUAUGGAAGAACACCAGUGGCGAAGGCGGCUGUCUAGUCUGUAACUGACGCUGAGGCUCGAAAGCAUGGGUAGCGAACAGGAUUAGAUACCCUGGUAGUCCAUGCCGUAAACGAUGAGUGCUAAGUGUUGGAGGGUUUCCGCCCUUCAGUGCUGCAGCUAACGCAUUAAGCACUCCGCCUGGGGAGUACGACCGCAAGGUUGAAACUCAAAGGAAUUGACGGGGGCCCGCACAAGCGGUGGAGCAUGUGGUUUAAUUCGAAGCUACGCGAAGAACCUUACCAGGUCUUGACAUCUUCUGCCAAUCUUAGAGAUAAGACGUUCCCUUCGGGGACAGAAUGACAGUGUGCAUGGUUGUCGUCAGCUCGUGUCGUGAGAUGUUGGGUUAAGUCCCGCAACGAGCGCACCCUUAUUAUCAGUGCAGCAUCAGUGGGCACUCUGGUGAGACUGCGUGACAACGAGGAGUGGGAUGACGUCAAUCAUCAUGCCCUAUGACUGGCUCCACGUGCUACAUGACGUACACGAGUCGGAGCUUGGCUAGCCUAUCUUUAAGCGACCAGUCGAUGAGCUCACUCGCCAUGGAGUGAAUCUGUAAUUCCGGAUCACAGCGCGGUAAUAGCUCUCCGGCCGUGUGAUAGCGUCUCUACAG